RNAcentral lists this ribosomal RNA (510 nucleotides) under uncultured bacterium. Its description in RNAcentral is "partial 16S ribosomal RNA". It matches the Rfam family "Bacterial small subunit ribosomal RNA", at positions 28 to 507 of the family's 1533-position model. The record is from RNAcentral.
GACGAACGCUGGCGGCGUGCUUAACACAUGCAAGUCGAACGAAGAGCGAUGGGAGCUUGCUUCUAUCACUCUUAGUGGCUAACGGGUGAGUAACGCGUAAUCAACCUGCCCUUCAGAGGGGGACAACAGUUGGAAACGACUGCUAAUACCGCAUACGAUCUAAACUCGGCAUCGAGGAUAGAUGAAAGGUGGCCUCUACAUGUAAGCUAUCACUGAAGGAGGGGAUUGCGUCUGAUUAGCUAGUUGGAGGGGUAACGGCCCACCAAGGCGAUGAUCAGUAGCCGGUCUGAGAGGAUGAACGGCCACAUUGGGACUGAGACACGGCCCAGACUCCUACGGGAGGCAGCAGUGGGGAAUCUUCCGCAAUGGACGAAAGUCUGACGGAGCAACGCCGCGUGAGUGAUGACGGCCUUCGGGUUGUAAAGCUCUGUUAAUCGGGACGAAAGGCCUUCUUGCGAAUAGUGAGAAGGAUUGACGGUACCGGAAUAGAAAGCCACGGCUAACUACGUG